ACACUAACAUUUCAUUUCCUUUCAUUUCCUUCCUUUGAAAACGUAAGAGCUGAAAAUGCACAGACUUAGGUAAGUGUUUUGUCACCAUUAGCGCGUUCACCGCCAACAUGGUCGCCUCACCGAGGUUGCUUGCUGGAAAUCAGAACUACUUCUUCGUAGUUGCUUAUUCACCGCCAUCUCAUCGUCGUUGAACUCUUUUUCCAGGCAACUUUUCAUUCCCUCUUUGUGAUCACCUUCCUCACCUCUUCGAGGUAGUUCUUUACUGUCUUGCUCGUCGUCGUUGGCACACUUCUCGUCAUGGUUGGGCUAAGAAAGCUCGCUCUGCCACUUCAAAGUCUUUUUCUUCUCAAAUCGCUUCCUCUCACAAUUGUGCUACUCUUCUCCUUCCAUUUUUUGAUAAAUGAAGGGACCAAUAUGAUGAUGAUGCAGGUGGUUCUAGUGGAGCUUAGCUGCGGAGAGGGGAUAGCUCGGGAAUCUUUUAUUUUAUUUUUUUAUGGUUUUGAGAUAAGUUGUAAACCUAUACGGGUGUUUGCUUUAUAACAUUCUGGUUUUGAGAAUUUAUGGA
Long non-coding RNA from Vigna unguiculata (cowpea), 565 nucleotides. NCBI's taxonomy places the organism in Eukaryota, Viridiplantae, Streptophyta, Magnoliopsida, Fabales, Fabaceae. The record is from RefSeq and is a predicted model, not a curated record.